UACGAAGGGGGCUAGCGUUGCUCGGAAUCACUGGGCGUAAAGGGUGCGUAGGCGGGUUUUUAAGUCAGGGGUGAAAUCCUGGAGCUCAACUCCAGAACUGCCUUUGAUACUGAAGAUCUUGAGUUCGGGAGAGGUGAGUGGAACUGCGAGUGUAGAGGUGAAAUUCGUAGAUAUUCGCAAGAACACCAGUGGCGAAGGCGGCUCACUGGCCCGAUACUGACGCUGUGGCACGAAAGCGUGGGGAGCAAACAGG
This 253-nucleotide ribosomal RNA is filed under the name uncultured bacterium. RNAcentral's name for it is "partial 16S ribosomal RNA". It matches the Rfam family "Bacterial small subunit ribosomal RNA", at positions 524 to 776 of the family's 1533-position model. The record is from RNAcentral.